UGAGAUGUUGGGUUAAGUCCCGCAACGAGCGCAACCCUUGUUCUGUGUUGCCAGCGAGUAAUGUCGGGGACUCACAGGAGACUGCCGGGGUCAACUCGGAGGAAGGUGGGGACGACGUCAAAUCAUCAUGCCCCUUAUGUCUUGGGCUGCACACGUGCUACAAUGGUCGGUACAAAGGGCUGCGAUGCCGUGAGGCGGAGCGAAUCCCAAAAAGCCGGCCUCAGUUCGGAUUGGGGUCUGCAACUCGACCCCAUGAAGUUGGAGUUGCUAGUAAUCGCAGAUCAGCAUGCUGCGGUGAAUACGUUCCCGGGCCUUGUACACACCGCCCGUAUAU
RNAcentral lists this ribosomal RNA (334 nucleotides) under Kitasatospora aureofaciens. RNAcentral's name for it is "bacterial SSU rRNA". It matches the Rfam family "Bacterial small subunit ribosomal RNA", at positions 1068 to 1401 of the family's 1533-position model. Lineage: Bacteria; Bacillati; Actinomycetota; Actinomycetes; Kitasatosporales; Streptomycetaceae. The record is from RNAcentral.